RNAcentral lists this unclassified non-coding RNA (494 nucleotides) under Hevea brasiliensis (rubber tree). Lineage: Eukaryota; Viridiplantae; Streptophyta; Magnoliopsida; Malpighiales; Euphorbiaceae. The record is from RNAcentral.
GAACAUCAACAAUCAAAUUGGAGAUUUCAAUAGAGUACUCGACCAUGGAAAGCUUGUAUGAUUGUUAGAGAAUCACCCUCCAAACAAACUUGGAAAUUGUCAGAAGAAUAGCUUCUUGGCAUGAUAAUGCUUUUGCCACUAAAGGGAUCUGUAAUAGCUGGAAGAUGUUUAGUCGACCAAGCAAACGGGGUAACUCAAAGCAUCGCUGGCAAUAACAGCUAUCGCUCCUAUACCAGCUUUAAGAGAAAUAGCAGCAUCAAAAUUUACUUUAAUAACAUUUUCUGGCAGAGGAAUCUAAUUCUGAAUCGAAGGCAGUGUCUAUCAUCAAAAUAAUAUCUUCUCGUGGAGGAAUCCAAUUCUGAAUCGGGGGCGGUAUGUCAUGUAAUAAGAUUAGGAAGAGAGGCUGAGUUGAAAUUUUCAAAGUGGCUCAUUGCUGAAUCUACUACUUGUUGGAAGGUGGAAGUUUGAUUUCGGAAGACAAAAGCAUUCCUUGA